CCGAGUUUACAACUCCCAAACCCCAAUGUGAACGUUACCAAUCUGUUGCCUCGGCGGGUUAUUUCUUUCUGCCCCGGGCGCGUCGCAGCCCCGGACCAAGGCGCCCGCCGGAGGACCAAAUUGCAAACUCUUUUUGUAUAUCCCAUCGCGGAUUAUUGUUUCUGAGCUUUCUCGGCGCUCCUAGCGAGCGUUUCGAAAAUGAAUCA
This 206-nucleotide unclassified non-coding RNA is filed under the name uncultured Trichoderma. RNAcentral's name for it is "sequence contains ITS1". Lineage: Eukaryota; Fungi; Ascomycota; Sordariomycetes; Hypocreales; Hypocreaceae. The record is from RNAcentral.